CUAUGGAGUUCAUGUGACCAAAAGUCACAAAUUCCUGGUCGAUUAUAAAGCGUAAGCUUUAUAACACCGAGUUCUUAAAAUUUACACUGUUUAGCUUUCAGAGCCUAUUUUUAGGUUCUGGUACGAUGGGGGUAUAGCUCAGAUGGGAGAGCACCUGCCUUGCAAGCAGGGGGUCAAGAGUUCGAUUCUCUUUACCUCCACCACGGAUCUUUAAGAUCCAUUGCACCUUGAAAAAUAUAUAAUAUAAGUAAAGCAAGAUGAGAAACAAUUUUUUUUAAAAGGGUAACUGUAUAUAGAGAUGUAUACAAUAACACUUAGGAAAAACUCAUUUUGAUGGAAAAGACAAUCACUUUAUUUUAAAAAUGAGAACUAAAAGGAAAUCGUUUUUUUGUUAGCGCAGAAGAACGUGGCCUUUUACAAAAGUGUAUUUUUGUUAAAGUAAAAAAAUGUUCGAUAUUUUCCUAGCGAAAAAAUCGUUACACAUUUUGCUAAAGCAAAAGUGCUA
Molecule: transfer RNA, 505 nt
Filed under: uncultured Bacillota bacterium
Lineage: Bacteria; Bacillati; Bacillota
Description: uncultured Firmicutes bacterium 16S-23S ribosomal RNA intergenic spacer
Rfam family: tRNA (bases 128-200)
Source: RNAcentral